Molecule: ribosomal RNA, 450 nt
Filed under: Gemella morbillorum
Lineage: Bacteria; Bacillati; Bacillota; Bacilli; Caryophanales; Gemellaceae
Description: bacterial SSU rRNA
Rfam family: Bacterial small subunit ribosomal RNA
Source: RNAcentral
GACGAACGCUGGCGGCGUGCCUAAUACAUGCAAGUCGAGCGAAGUUUUUCUGGUGCUUGCACUAGAAAAACUUAGCGGCGAACGGGUGAGUAACACGUAAAGAACCUGCCUCAUAGACUGGGACAACUAUUGGAAACGAUAGCUAAUACCGGAUAACAGUAUUUCUCGCAUGAGAGAUAUUUAAAAGUUGGUUAUGCUAACACUAUGAGAUGGCUUUGCGGUGCAUUAGCUAGUUGGUGGGGUAAAGGCCUACCAAGGCGACGAUGCAUAGCCGGCCUGAGAGGGUGAUCGGCCACACUGGGACUGAGACACGGCCCAGACUCCUACGGGAGGCAGCAGUAGGGAAUCUUCCGCAAUGGGCGAAAGCCUGACGGAGCAACGCCGCGUGAGUGAAGAAGGAUUUCGGUUCGUAAAGCUCUGUUGUUAGGGAAGAAUGGAUAUGUAGUAACU